GGGACACGUGGUAUCCUGUCUGAAUAUGGGGGGACCAUCCUCCAAGGCUAAAUACUCCUGACUGACCGAUAGUGAACCAGUACCGUGAGGGAAAGGCGAAAAGAACCCCGGCGAGGGGAGUGAAAAAGAACCUGAAACCGUGUACGUACAAGCAGUGGGAGCACCCUUUGGGGUGUGACUGCGUACCUUUUGUAUAAUGGGUCAGCGACUUAUAUUCUGUAGCAAGGUUAACCGAAUAGGGGAGCCGGAGGGAAACCGAGUCUUAACCGGGCGUUAAGUUGCAGGGUAUAGACCCGAAACCCGGUGAUCUAGCCAUGGGCAGGUUGAAGGUUGGGUAACACUAACUGGAGGACCGAACCGACUAAUGUUGAAAAAUUAGCGGAUGACCUGUGGCUGGGGGUGAAAGGCCAAUCAAACCGGGAGAUAGCUGGUUCUCCCCGAAAGCUAUUUAGGUAGCGCCUCGUGAAUUCAUCUCCGGGGGUAGAGCACUGUUUCGGCUAGGGGGCCAUCCCGGCUUACCAACCCGAUGCAAACUGCGAAUACCGGAGAAUGUUAUCACGGGAGACACACGGCGGGUGCUAACGUCCGUCGUGAAGAGGGAAACAACCCAGACCGCCAGCUAAGGUCCCAAAGUCAUGGUUAAGUGGGAAACGAUGUGGGAAGGCCCAGACAGCCAGGAUGUUGGCUUAGAAGCAGCCAUCAUUUAAAGAAAGCGUAAUAGCUCACUGGUCGAGUCGGCCUGCGCGGAAGAUGUAACGGGGCUAAACCAUGCACCGAAGCUGCGGCAGCGACACUGUGUGUUGUUGGGUAGGGGAGCGUUCUGUAAGCCUGUGAAGGUGUGUCGUGAGGCAUGCUGGAGGUAUCAGAAGUGCGAAUGCUGACAUAAGUAACGAUAAAGCGGGUGAAAAGCCCGCUCGCCGGAAGACCAAGGGUUCCUGUCCAACGUUAAUCGGGGCAGGGUGAGUCGACCCCUAAGGCGAGGCCGAAAGGCGUAGUCGAUGGGAAACGGGUUAAUAUUCCCGUACUUGGUGUUACUGCGAAGGGGGGACGGAGAAGGCUAUGUUGGCCGGGCGACGGUUGUCCCGGUUUAAGCGUGUAGGUGUGUGUUCCAGGUAAAUCCGGUUCACUUUAACACUGAGGCGUGAUGACGAGGCACUACGGUGCUGAAGCAACAAAUGCCCUGCUUCCAGGAAAAGCCUCUAAGCAUCAGGUAACAUCAAAUCGUACCCCAAACCGACACAGGUGGUCAGGUAGAGAAUACCAAGGCGCUUGAGAGAACUCGGGUGAAGGAACUAGGCAAAAUGGUGCCGUAACUUCGGGAGAAGGCACGCUGACACGUAGGUGAAGUGAUUUACUCAUGGAGCUGAAGUCAGUCGAAGAUACCAGCUGGCUGCAACUGUUUAUUAAAAACACAGCACUGUGCAAACACGAAAGUGGACGUAUACGGUGUGACGCCUGCCCGGUGCCGGAAGGUUAAUUGAUGGGGUCAGCGCAAGCGAAGCUCCUGAUCGAAGCCCCGGUAAACGGCGGCCGUAACUAUAACGGUCCUAAGGUAGCGAAAUUCCUUGUCGGGUAAGUUCCGACCUGCACGAAUGGCGUAAUGAUGGCCAGGCUGUCUCCACCCGAGACUCAGUGAAAUUGAACUCGCUGUGAAGAUGCAGUGUACCCGCGGCAAGACGGAAAGACCCCGUGAACCUUUACUAUAGCUUGACACUGAACAUUGAGCCUUGAUGUGUAGGAUAGGUGGGAGGCUUUGAAGUGUGGACGCCAGUCUGCAUGGAGCCGACCUUGAAAUACCACCCUUUAAUGUUUGAUGUUCUAACGUGGACCCGUGAUCCGGGUUGCGGACAGUGUCUGGUGGGUAGUUUGACUGGGGCGGUCUCCUCCUAAAGAGUAACGGAGGAGCACGAAGGUUGGCUAAUCCUGGUCGGACAUCAGGAGGUUAGUGCAAUGGCAUAAGCCAGCUUGACUGCGAGCGUGACGGCGCGAGCAGGUGCGAAAGCAGGUCAUAGUGAUCCGGUGGUUCUGAAUGGAAGGGCCAUCGCUCAACGGAUAAAAGGUACUCCGGGGAUAACAGGCUGAUACCGCCCAAGAGUUCAUAUCGACGGCGGUGUUUGGCACCUCGAUGUCGGCUCAUCACAUCCUGGGGCUGAAGUAGGUCCCAAGGGUAUGGCUGUUCGCCAUUUAAAGUGGUACGCGAGCUGGGUUUAGAACGUCGUGAGACAGUUCGGUCCCUAUCUGCCGUGGGCGCUGGAGAACUGAGGGGGGCUGCUCCUAGUACGAGAGGACCGGAGUGGACGCAUCACUGGUGUUCGGGUUGUCAUGCCAAUGGCACUGCCCGGUAGCUAAAUGCGGAAGAGAUAAGUGCUGAAAGCAUCUAAGCACGAAACUUGCCCCGAGAUGAGUUCUCCCUGAGACUUAAAGUCUCCUGAAGGAACGUUGAAGACGACGACGUUGAUAGGCCGGGUGUGUAAGCGCAGCGAUGCGUUGAGCUAACCGGUACUAAUGAACCGUGAGGCUUAACCUUACAACGCCGAAG
This 2539-nucleotide ribosomal RNA is filed under the name Salmonella enterica subsp. enterica serovar Newport. RNAcentral describes it as "partial 23S ribosomal RNA". It matches the Rfam family "Bacterial large subunit ribosomal RNA", at positions 419 to 2925 of the family's 2925-position model. The record is from RNAcentral. Lineage: Bacteria; Pseudomonadati; Pseudomonadota; Gammaproteobacteria; Enterobacterales; Enterobacteriaceae.